Leptonychotes weddellii (Weddell seal) is the source of this 939-nucleotide non-coding RNA. The record is from RefSeq and is a predicted model, not a curated record. NCBI's taxonomy places the organism in Eukaryota, Metazoa, Chordata, Mammalia, Carnivora, Phocidae.
CUUCGGAAUGCCAGUGACUCAUGUUUCCUACAAACUGCUUGGAGAAAUCUUUUGUCUUUGGUUUACUGGACUUCCUCUCACUAUAUAUUCAAGAUGUUGGACUGACAACAUCAGAGCUGUCCUGAAAUGUCAAAAAGGAAACUUUCAGAAUUGAGUUGGAAGACAGAUGGAACACCCUGGCUGUGGUGUGAGUGAAGGUGAUGGAGGGAAACCCCUACCUCUACUGCCUGAUAGACAGACUAUAGAGGAGCAGCCUGCAUUGUGAGCUCUUUGACGUGCUGUGUGGCUUCUGACACCUCCCUGGGCCUCAGUUUCCUCACCUGUAAAAUGGGCACAAAAUGAAAAAUAUUUGUCUCACAAGGUGUGGCAAAAUUGAAAUGUAAUGACACGCAGCACGGUGUGAUGCACACAUCAAGGCUUCAGGGUUUGAGGGUGCUACACUCCUCUAUCAACCGGAACAGUCCGAGAUCGCUUCCUGCAACAUCUGCAGUUCAUAUUCCUGUUCAGGGUUACGCUCCUGAUGUUGCCACCACUGAAAGGACAAGACAAACCACCCGGGGCUGAAAUUCUGUGCUUCAGAGCAGCCGAGGAUGGGGUGGGCUUUCCAAAUGGCUUCUUGCAUUGAGCCCAAGGCGUGGAAUAUGAAUUUGAUAAACCCUGGAAUGGAUUGUCAAGGGGAAGUUUGAAGCCUCUUUCUCCAGGAGCUUUUAAAAAUAGAUAGACACUCAUCAGUCUGAGCCAGUUGCAGCCUGGUGCUAUCUGGAGAUGACAUGAUGGAUUGGCUUCUGGCUGGGAACAGAGGAGAAAGGAAUCUCCUUUCUACUGAGGUCUACUGACUGAGCAUUUCACCUCACCUUUCAGAGCAUUUCAGCAUUGCUGAUUUUCUCUGACUGAAGAAAUCACAACUGUUCAUUAUUUAAAAUUCAGAGAAACUGUAAA